Transfer RNA from Naematelia encephala, 90 nucleotides. It matches the Rfam family "tRNA". From Rfam's summary of the family: Transfer RNA (tRNA) molecules are approximately 80 nucleotides in length. Their secondary structure includes four short double-helical elements and three loops (D, anti-codon, and T loops). NCBI's taxonomy places the organism in Eukaryota, Fungi, Basidiomycota, Tremellomycetes, Tremellales, Naemateliaceae. The record is from Rfam.
GCCCGGGUAGCGCAAUGGUCAACGCGUCACCUUCCUACGCUAUUGUAAAGCAUGAGGUGAAGAUUGCGGGUUCGAGUCCCGCCUUGGGUU